This 466-nucleotide ribosomal RNA is filed under the name uncultured bacterium. RNAcentral's name for it is "partial 16S ribosomal RNA". It matches the Rfam family "Bacterial small subunit ribosomal RNA", at positions 28 to 507 of the family's 1533-position model. The record is from RNAcentral.
GACGAACGCUGGCGGCGUGCUUAACACAUGCAAGUCGAACGGAAAGGCCCUGCUUGCAGGGUACUCGAGUGGCGAACGGGUGAGUAACACGUGGGUGAUCUGCCCUGCACUUCGGGAUAAGCUUGGGAAACUGGGUCUAAUACCGGAUAGGAGCCAUCUUUAGUGUGGUGGUUGGAAAGUUUUUUCGGUGUAGGAUGAGCUCGCGGCCUAUCAGCUUGUUGGUGGGGUAAUGGCCUACCAAGGCGGCGACGGGUAGCCGGCCUGAGAGGGUGUACGGCCACAUUGGGACUGAGAUACGGCCCAGACUCCUACGGGAGGCAGCAGUGGGGAAUAUUGCACAAUGGGCGCAAGCCUGAUGCAGCGACGCCGCGUGGGGGAUGAAGGCCUUCGGGUUGUAAACUCCUUUCGCUAGGGACGAGGCUUUGUUGUGACGGUACCUAGAUAAGAAGCACCGGCUAACUACGUG